This 254-nucleotide ribosomal RNA is filed under the name uncultured bacterium. RNAcentral describes it as "partial 16S ribosomal RNA". It matches the Rfam family "Bacterial small subunit ribosomal RNA", at positions 524 to 776 of the family's 1533-position model. The record is from RNAcentral.
CACGUAGGGACCAAGCGUUGUCCGGAUUCAUUGGGCGUAAAGAGCUCGUAGGCGGUUCGGUAAGUCGGGUGUGAAACCUCCAGGCUCAACCUGGAGACGCCACCCGAUACUGCUGUGACUAGAGUCCAGUAGGGGAGCGUGGAAUUCCUGGUGUAGCGGUGAAAUGCGCAGAUAUCAGGAGGAACACCAGCGGCGAAGGCGGCGCUCUGGGCUGGAACUGACGCUGAGGAGCGAAAGCGUGGGGAGCGAACAGG